AGUGAACGCUGGCGGCAGGCCUAAUACAUGCAAGUCGAACGGCAGCACAGUGGAGCUUGCUCCAUGGGUGGCGAGUGGCGGACGGGUGAGGAAUACAUGGGAAUCUGCCCAGUCGUGGGGGAUAACGUAGGGAAACUUACGCUAAUACCGCAUGCGCCCUUCGGGGGAAAGCCGGGGACCUUCGGGCCUGGCGCGAUUGGAUGAGCCCAUGUUCGAUUAGCUAGUUGGCGGGGUAAAGGCCCACCAAGGCGACGAUCGAUAGCUGGUCUGAGAGGAUGAUCAGCCACACUGGGACUGAGACACGGCCCAGACUCCUACGGGAGGCAGCAGUAGGGAAUAUUGGACAAUGGGCGCAAGCCUGAUCCAGCCAUGCCGCGUGAGUGAAGAAGGCCCUCGGGUUGUAAUGCUCUUUUGUCCGGGAAGAAAAGCAUCGGGCUAAUACCUCGGUGUUCUGACGGUACCGGAAGAAUAAGCACCGGCUAACUUCGUG
RNAcentral lists this ribosomal RNA (490 nucleotides) under uncultured bacterium. RNAcentral's name for it is "partial 16S ribosomal RNA". It matches the Rfam family "Bacterial small subunit ribosomal RNA", at positions 29 to 507 of the family's 1533-position model. The record is from RNAcentral.